GGUAAUACGGGAGGGGCAAGCGUUAUCUGGAAUGACUGGGCGUAAAGUGUCCGUAGACUGUAAUGUAAGUUAAUUGUCAAAUUUUAAAGCCUAACUUUAAAACAGCAAUUAAUACUGCUUUACUUGAGUAUGAUACAGAAGAGUGGAAUUUUAUAUGAAGGGAUAACACCCGUAGAUAUAUAAAGGAACUCCAUUAGCGAAGGCGACUCUUUAGUACACACUGACGUUGAGGGACGAAAGUAUAGGGAGCAAACAGGAUUAGAUAACCUGGUAGUCUAUACUGUAAAUUCUGAGUGCUGUGAUUUAACUUGUGUAAAACACAAUGAUUUAGAUCUUCUAAGCUAACGCCAUAAGCACUCCGCCUGAGGAGUACGAUCGCAAGAUUGAAACUCAAAGGA
Molecule: ribosomal RNA, 398 nt
Filed under: uncultured Thalassiosiraceae
Lineage: Eukaryota; Bacillariophyta; Thalassiosirophyceae; Thalassiosirales; Thalassiosiraceae
Description: bacterial SSU rRNA
Rfam family: Bacterial small subunit ribosomal RNA
Source: RNAcentral